CCCGACAAGCACAAUACUUCUCAUUUCUUUUCAAACUCUGUACGCUUCAGGUUGAAGCAGCAGUCUGUCGGCCAGCCUUGCACUUUUUAUUUAUUAAACUGUCAUGAUAGUGUGUGUAGUAUGGGACUUGUGUGUAAUGUCUUCUCAUUUGACAAUUCAUUGUUUUAUAUAUUUUCACAGAAUUUAUAGGCCCACAGGAGAAUAUUAAUGCUGUCAUUUUUGUAUUUAGUUUUAUAUUUGUCUCAUUGGUGUACACUCUGAGAAAAUUUCUGUAAAAUUAAAUAUCUAGUGAGUGAAUUGUUUGGGCCUUCCUGGAGCCUCCAUUAGGAUGUCCAUCCAUGUACCCGUUAAUGGACUCCUGGGACUUCCUGGACUCUUUGAGAACCACUUCACCACACUGGACAUGAAAUUGUGUUUUUGUCCUCUGCUGAAUGUUUUUUUUUUUGAGCCGACACAGAUGCACAAGCUCGCCACCUAUGGCAGUGCGUUGCCAUGGUUGCCCAUCUCACCUUGGAUGCUGCACCCCAGGUGAUCCCAAAAGGUGCUUGGCUGAAUGGGACAUCAUUGCCAUGGAGAUUGGAGGCGAUGACACACGCGUGCACACACACACACACACACACACACACAUUCGUGGACUCAGAAAUGAGACUGGCUUUCACGAGCGAGCGGCUGCACAGUCUGACUCGAUGAAAAGUUGUCUCUCUAAAGGGAAGACAGCCGCACAGAUUGAGCUGUCACUGGAAGGGAACUCUGCUCUGCUCUUUCAUCCCUCUGUGUGCAAACGGAUGGAUCUCCUUCUCUUUCAUUCUGUCAAAUGUAAACCUUUCCGUUGGGUAAUUCCAAACUAAAGCUCGGGCUCGGCAGACAAGCAGGUGGAGAUAAAUGUACGCCAUUUAAAGAACAUUGACCGAGGCUGAAAACACUCAUCGCUCCCCUCCCCCUGCUUCCUGUUUAAAGCAUGUCAAUGUACAGCGCCAGAGUGAGAGAGGCAUAUCACUGCAGGGCUUUCCCCACCCUCUAACAUUUUAGCGUUCACGCUCCUUCGGUCCUGUGCUUUCUGCCUGUCGGACUUUUGGUGAAACUUUUUCUUCAAGACGUGAAGUCAAGCGGGCUCUCAUGCACACAU
Molecule: long non-coding RNA, 1126 nt
Organism: Scatophagus argus
Lineage: Eukaryota; Metazoa; Chordata; Actinopteri; Scatophagidae
Exons: 2
Source: RefSeq, a predicted model, not a curated record